Long non-coding RNA from Platichthys flesus (European flounder), 2818 nucleotides. RefSeq lists it as uncharacterized. The transcript has 4 exons. NCBI's taxonomy places the organism in Eukaryota, Metazoa, Chordata, Actinopteri, Pleuronectiformes, Pleuronectidae. The record is from RefSeq and is a predicted model, not a curated record.
GUGGGCCUGAAAUACAGUGAUAUUUAACAGCCUGGAACAAUCCGCACAAUGCGCUGCAGAGCGCGCCACAUACCUGUACCGGAAACGGCAGCGGAAAGUGGGGAGAGGAGCUACCUCAAUAUAUUUAACACCGGGUGAGAUGCUUACACAACAGUGAUUGGAUAAUUAUUCACCUGAUGCACACAAGAAAAAAAGUGCAUUUCCUUGUUACCAGCCGGUCACAUUUGCUAAUUUCUCAAUCAUGUCCAUUUAAGAAGCACAAGCUAGUGGAGCCCUUGGAGAAGCUCAAGGGAGAACAUCGGCUCUCUUGACAUAAUGUGAUGCAGAUCUUCUGCCAAACUGAUCAGCAGUGUAUCUAUUAUCUCUGCUUUGUGGAUGAAAAUAAAGCUGCAACAGAAAGGACUGAGAGGCAGAGAGAGCUCGGGCUGAGGAGAAAAACAAACCAGCAGAGACUCCAGGACAGAGAUAAAGAUGUGAAGCUGCUUCAGCAGGAGGAGGAGGCCAUCAAUGGCAAUGCUGAUAAAGCAGUGGAGGACAGUGAGAAGAUCUUCACUGAACUGAACCGUCUGGUGGAGAGAGAGAGAGAGAGAGAGAGAGAGAGAGAGAGAGAGAGAGAGAGAGAGAGAGAGAGAGAGAGAGACUGGCUUGUUUGAGAGAGGAAGGCUCCUUUGAUGACAUUGAUGAGGAAUCUAAACUAGAGGAGAUCAUAGCAUAGGAACAUCCAUCCAUGAAUGAAAUAACACAGGAAAGGAAUAUGAGUCAUUUUGUCACAGGAGCGCAGUGACUCAAUGUCAGACAGGGCAACCGAAGAUGGACCUUGAGGCAGACCUCCGAAGUAUGAUGUCAGAUAGGGAGUGGCAGGAAGUUAUGGACACAGCCUUCAGGAUGAUGAAGGAAUUGUUUGAAAACUCUCCCAACCCUCCCACUUCACUUGAGGAGAUGGGUGUGGCCCUGGAGAUGUUGGGGGAAACGUUUCCAGAGAUACCAAACCCUUCAACUGCACCUUUACCUACUGUCCCUGCCACGACCCUUCGGUCUCAGAGAUGUAGAGUUCCUGGGGAGGUAGCAGCUCCUAUCAGCCUGGUGCAACCAUUUAAGGCCCCUGCCGUACCAUCAUGUCUGCAUCUCAACAACAAAGCUGUUGGAUUGGUGUAUGUAUCGCACACAUGAAUUCAAAUUAACACACAACUGUGAGCUUCUGUUUGCAUGUUUAACCACACUUGUUUGGUCAUCUAAUGCAGUGGUCCCCAAACCCCGGGCAAAGAGUAAACAACUUACAUUUUUUCUGUUUUAUUUAUUAUCUGAUUCUGAACAGUGUUUUAUUUUGAAAAUGACCGUAUCUUCUCCGUUACGACUCAUGCUUUACGCAUGUCAAGACGCUUGUCUCGGUCACUUGACUUUUUCCACUUAACACAAACCCACACAGUAUUUUUCUGACCCAUUUGUCAACAAAUCGGCCUUAAAAGUAUGUUCUAGAAAAGAACUCUGCCGGUGUUCUGGAUUAAAGUCAUGGAAGAAUACCCUGAGAUUGCCACAACAGCACUAAAAACUCUGUUCCCAUUUCCGACAUCAUAUCUGUAGUGACAUAGGUGGAAUUUUUUUUAAUUAACGAAUUAAUUCUUUAUUUGAAUAUAAAAAAACUCUCCAAAGUGCACAGAAACGCAGUGUGUGCGUGACGGAGCUUUGGUAUCCGUCCGUCUCCGUCUUGCUGGUAACUUACUACGCAUAAUUAAUUUGAGGUCGCAUAUUAACAAAUUCGUAAAAUUCGUAAAAUACAAAAUAUCUACCGAUGUCACCAGAGGCUGUACCAGAGGGCCUCCGUAGUGAGGCUCUGUACCCACACCUUAAAGGCCGGUCCGUGGAAAUAUUGUCUGACAUCCAACCGGUCGCACGCAAAAAAGGUUCGGGACCGCUGAUCUAAUGUAUCUGUCUGAUUGUGUUUAUGUAGGAAUACAGAGGCUGUUAAUGGGACUCAAACCAAUACUGCUCCUGAUACUGCUGCUGAUCCUCCUCCGAACAUUUCACAGAGGAUGCAUGAUCAUGACUACAGUCAGCCAUAUAUCAAGAAGCCAUCCAACGCGUUCAUGAUCUUCAGGAAGGAGCAGAGUCCCGUUGUUGCGGCCGAGCUACAACAAGGUGACUCUGCCUCUGUGAACACCAUCCUUGGACAGAGAUGGAAGGCCCUGUCAAAAGACCAGCAGGCCAAAUACUACAACCUAGCUGAGAUGGAGAGGACACUCCAUAAUCAGCUGCACCCUGAGUGGUCAUCCAGUGAUAACUAUGGGAAGAAUAGGAAGCGGGGCAAGCGGGGGAAGAGGAAUGUUCCCAACUGGACUAAAUGACUGUAUUUGCCAUGGGACACUUCAACAGGGGACUUAGAGCCCUCCUCCCGUCACUGCAUGUUGUCACCUGUCCUCCUCUCCAGAUUCUUUUCUUUGCUUCAUUAGGGCCCGAGCACCUCCGGUGGGAGGCCCUAUUGUAUUUUGAAGAACUUGUAUUUCCCUUUUGGGGCUUUUUCAGGGCCUGGACAUGAUUAAAGGACUUAAGAUUCUAGAGCCCCCUGAUGGCAACAGGAAAUGUCAUUAGUCAUUCAUUUCAAGCUGUGUCAAAAGGGUGUCAAGACAUUGAUAAUGAAGGCAUAACAUUACUGUGUAUUUGUCAUGUAUUUGUAUUUUAUGGGCCAAACUAAAAAUCCAAGUUCAGGUUAAGCAGAUUUUUCUGAAAGAUGGUUUCUGUUGACUCAGGUAAUUUUUAUGACAUUAAUAGUAAUAUAGUAAUAGUAAUAAACCACCACUCAUCCUCACCACCUUCUGCAGAG